Molecule: ribosomal RNA, 386 nt
Filed under: uncultured bacterium
Lineage: Bacteria
Description: bacterial SSU rRNA
Rfam family: Bacterial small subunit ribosomal RNA
Source: RNAcentral
GAUGAACGCUAGCGGCAGGCUUAAUACAUGCAAGUCGAGGGGCAGCAGUCCCGCAGCAAUGCGGGAGCUGGCGACCGGCAAACGGGUGCGGAACACGUACAGAACCUUCCUUCGAGCGGGGAAUAGCCCAGAGAAAUUUGGAUUAAUACCCCAUAGCAUUACGAAGUGGCAUCACUUUGUAAUUAAAGAUUUAUCACUCGAAGAUGGCUGUGCGGCUGAUAGGUAGUUGGCGGAGUAACGGCCCACCAAGCCUUCGAUCAGUAACUGGUGUGAGAGCACGACCAGUCACACGGGCACUGAGACACGGGCCCGACUCCUACGGGAGGCAGCAGUAAGGAAUAUUGGUCAAUGGACGAAAGUCUGAACCAGCCAUGCCGCGUGGAGGA